CCUACGGGAGGCAGCAGUAGGGAAUAUUGCUCAAUGGGGGAAACCCUGAAGCAGCAACGCCGCGUGGAGGAUGAAGGUUUUCGGAGUGUAAACCCCUUUUGUUAGAGAAGAUAAUGACGGUAUCUAACGAAUAAGCACCGGCCAACUCCGGGCCAGCAGCCGCGGUAAUUCGGAGGGUGCAAGCGUUACUCGGAAUCACUGGGCGUAAAGGGGGCGUAGGGGGGUUAGCAAGUCAGAUGUGAAAUCCUAAGGCUUAACCAUAGAAUUGGAAUUGAAACUGUUAUUCUAGAGUAUGGGAGAGGUAGGUGGAAUUCUUGGUGUAGGGGUAAAAUGCGUAGAGAUCAAGAGGAAUACUGAUUGCGAAGGCAACCUACUAGACCAUAACUGACGCUGAUGCGCGAAAGCGUGGGGAGCAAACAGGAUUAGAUACCCCUGUAGUC
Molecule: ribosomal RNA, 440 nt
Filed under: uncultured bacterium
Lineage: Bacteria
Description: partial 16S ribosomal RNA
Rfam family: Bacterial small subunit ribosomal RNA
Source: RNAcentral